AAUAACAAUAUUCUUAGUAGCACCCUCGUCUGUCAUCUCCCUCAAAGUAGAUUGAAGAUAAUAAAGUUAUGCACUCUUCUGAUACGAACCACUGAAAAAUUAGGUUGACGUACAUUAUUACCUGCAAUUCUGUGAGUAUUAUUCUGUUAUACUCUAUUACCAGUUUCCGCAGCAGUAGUAGGUUGUUCGAUAGCAUAGAUGGCUAUCCUAGGCGAGACAAUAUUACAUCGAGCUGUCUUUAUACUUUCUUACAUCGCUUUGAACUCCUCACUUGAGACUGAAGUUGCAGUUUGAUUUUGCUCUGUGUUUUUUUCUUCAUAAUUUCUCUGUUUUCUCUGAACAAUUAAAGCUGCACAAGCACAAUCAUGGUAUAUUUCUACUUCAAUGAUGAUUUUAGUUGAACCUUUUUAGAUCACAGAAACAUUAGACCUCUAAGCUAACUGUGAUCCUAGUUAUUGGUUCAAAAUGGAUAUUUUACACUGAAACAGGUUGAUUUUUUUUUUUGGAAAAGUAAACAGGUUGAUCUUGAGGAUCCAGUAUUUAUUGGAGCCAGAUUUGUCAAGCAAGUAGCUGCUAGGAUCAAUGAUUUGUCUGGCGAUGGAUUAAAGUACUGGUUUUAAUGAUAUUCAGUGGUUUCUGCAGGAGCCAAAGAUAACUUGGUAUAGAGAAAUAGGAAAAGUUCUAGUCAGUGAACUAAAAAUAUGUCAAAGGAGGUAUAUCUACUUGACAGUCUGGCUCAUAUGUUGGUCGGUUCUUUUUCUGUGGCUAUUGACUAAAAUGAGGGAGUCAUCCAAUCUUGCUAUAUAGGCUGGAGAGCAAUUGGAACCUUGACUGAAGAUGCUCUGACUGUAACAAAGGCUGCUGUUGAGGAAGGGUUUGUUGGUGAUGGCUGUACUCUUUUGAGGCUGGCUUCAAAAGUUGAUUCCAUCAUAGAAUCUCGUGAGAAUGAUAAGCAGCAGGUUGGGACUGAGAUUGCAAGGAAGACUCUGAAUUACCGUUUAACUUUAUUGUCAAUAAGAUAAGCAGAGCAAUGACAGAUCUUUGCAAGGUUCUUGCCAGGCAACUUGAGGUAUGGAUAUAAUGCUGGAAAGUACGAGGACUUGAUGGUUGGUGGAAUUAUUGGCCCCUUUAAGCUCGAAAAUUUUUGAUAAACAGAAGGCUGUGAUGUGCUGCUGCUUGGAGGACCCUGGGAACAUCAUGCUGCAUCCGUGGCGAAGACAUACAUCAGUUCCAGACCGCGUGCUGGACUACUGAAGUGCUGGUAAGGGCAGCAGGCCAUGGAUUCUAACCGACCGAAAAGGUGAUCCGGUUUUCUUAUGAGUAACGGGUAGGGGAGGACGACUGGACGAGGGGGGCGAGUUACUAAUCCCAUCCAGGUAUGCACGGUCACGUCGCUUCCCUGACGCUCUAGUUGGCAAUGCAUACGUAUGUUUCAUGGUCAUGGACACACACAUGCCUAAACGGCCUCCUUUUCCAGAACGAGAAAUGCAUGUUUUGUUUCAUUCUCAAAAUGCGCAUGCAUCAUGCUGUUCAUCCAGCCCCUAGAAAACUACAAAAAAAAAACCUUGAUAGCACACGAGUACGGAGGAGGGGCGCC
Panicum virgatum (switchgrass) is the source of this 1597-nucleotide long non-coding RNA. RefSeq lists it as uncharacterized. The record is from RefSeq and is a predicted model, not a curated record. The transcript has 8 exons. NCBI's taxonomy places the organism in Eukaryota, Viridiplantae, Streptophyta, Magnoliopsida, Poales, Poaceae.